RNAcentral lists this ribosomal RNA (494 nucleotides) under uncultured bacterium. RNAcentral describes it as "partial 16S ribosomal RNA". It matches the Rfam family "Bacterial small subunit ribosomal RNA", at positions 28 to 507 of the family's 1533-position model. The record is from RNAcentral.
GACGAACGCUGGCGGCGUGCUUAACACAUGCAAGUCGAACGGUGAAGCGCCUUCCUUUUUGGUGGGUGUGGAUGAGUGGCGAACGGGUGAGUAACACGUGAGUAACCUGCCCCCUUCUUCUGGAUAACCGCAUGAAAGUGUGGCUAAUACGGGAUAUUCUGGGUCUGUCGCAUGAUGGGUCUGGGAAAGAUAUUGUUUCGGUGGGGGAUGGGCUCGCGGCCUAUCAGCUUGUUGGUGGGGUGAUGGCCUACCAAGGCGGUGACGGGUAGCCGGCGUGAGAGGGUGGGCGGUCACACUGGGACUGAGACACGGCCCGGACUCCUACGGGGGGCAGCAGUGGGGAAUAUUGCCCAAUGGGGGCAAGCCUGAUGCAGCGACGCCGCGUGAGGGAUGGAGGCCUUCGGGUUGUGAACCUCUUUCGCCAGUGAAGCAGGCCUGCCUCGUUUGUGGGUGGGUUGACGGUAGCUGGAUAAGGAGCGCCGGCUAACUACGUG